AGGGGACCAUCUGUCACCCCUUUGAUCGCCAGGUUUUACUCCGCUGAUCUGGCUGACUAGGCGGGUGUCCCCUUCCUCCCUCAGGGCACCAUGUGCUUCCCUCCCGAAGCUGCGAGCUAGAUAGAAGAGGAUGACCUUCCCCGAAUAGAGGAGGACCGGUCUUCGGCCAACGGUAUAUGAGUAGCUGCACUCCCCUGCUGGAACCUCCAAACAAGCUCUCAAGAUCUUAUGUAUUUUUUUGGCCUAUAAAUCUUGUUUAUAAACAAAAGAAUACUUCUAUUAGAGAUAAGCAAAUUGUUCUCUAGACUGA
This is a non-coding RNA of Cricetulus griseus (Chinese hamster), 310 nucleotides long. Lineage: Eukaryota; Metazoa; Chordata; Mammalia; Rodentia; Cricetidae. The record is from Rfam.